ACGAACGCUGGCGGCGUGCCUAAUACCUGCAAGUUGAGCGCUGAAGGUUGGUACUUGUACCAACUGGAUGAGCAGCGAACGGGUGAGUAACGCGUGGGGAAUCUGCCUUUGAGCGGGGGACAACAUUUGGAAACGAAUGCUAAUACCGCAUAAAAACUUUAAACACAAGUUUUAAGUUUGAAAGAUGCAAUUGCAUCACUCAAAGAUGAUCCCGCGUUGUAUUAGCUAGUUGGUGAGGUAAAGGCUCACCAAGGCGAUGAUACAUAGCCGACCUGAGAGGGUGAUCGGCCACAUUGGGACUGGGACACGGCCCAAACUCCUACGGGAGGCAGCAGUAGGGAAUCUUCGGCAAUGGACGAAAGUCUGACCGAGCAACGCCGCGUGAGUGAAGAAGGUUUUCGGAUCGUAAAACUCUGUUGGUAGAGAAGAACGUUGGUGAGAGUGGAAAGCUCAUCAAGUGACGGUAACUACCCAGAAAGGGACGGCUAACUACGUG
This 496-nucleotide ribosomal RNA is filed under the name uncultured bacterium. RNAcentral describes it as "partial 16S ribosomal RNA". It matches the Rfam family "Bacterial small subunit ribosomal RNA", at positions 29 to 507 of the family's 1533-position model. The record is from RNAcentral.